RNAcentral lists this ribosomal RNA (442 nucleotides) under uncultured bacterium. Its description in RNAcentral is "partial 16S ribosomal RNA". It matches the Rfam family "Bacterial small subunit ribosomal RNA", at positions 338 to 795 of the family's 1533-position model. The record is from RNAcentral.
CCUACGGGAGGCAGCAGUAGGGAAUUUUUCACAAUGGGCGAAAGCCUGAUGGAGCAACGCCGCGUGCAGGAUGAAGGCCUUCGGGUUGUAAACUGCUUUUAUAAGCGAGAAAUAUGUUGGUAACUUAUGAAUAAGGAUCGGCUAACUACGUGCCAGCAGCCGCGGUCAUACGUAGGAUCCGAGCAUUAUCCGGAGUGACUGGGUGUAAAGAGUUGCGUAGGUGGCAUAAUAAGUAGCUAGUGAAAUCUGGUGGCUCAACCAUUCAGACUAUUAGCUAAACUGUUAAGCUCGAGACCGUUAGGGGUAACUGGAAUUUCUAGUGUAGGAGUGAAAUCCGUAGAUAUUAGAAGGAACACCAAUAGCGUAGGCAGGUUGCUGGGACGGUUCUGACACUAAGGCACGAAAGCGUAGGGAGCAAACGGGAUUAGAUACCCCAGUAGUC